Betta splendens (Siamese fighting fish) is the source of this 1007-nucleotide long non-coding RNA. RefSeq lists it as uncharacterized. The record is from RefSeq and is a predicted model, not a curated record. The transcript is spliced from 3 exons. NCBI's taxonomy places the organism in Eukaryota, Metazoa, Chordata, Actinopteri, Anabantiformes, Osphronemidae.
UUUACAUAUUGUCACAUAUAAGUGACACCUUCUGUGAAGCAAGAGCUGGAGUACAUGAUGAACAGUUCAGUGACUAACAAGCAAAUACACAACCAUAUAUAUUUACACUGAUUAGAUUCUUAACUAGAUACUUAACUAUGUGAAGGGGAUUGAGUCUUUGUUGACUUAACAAAGAAGUGGAGAAUAGUGGAUUUUGUCUACAACUGUUCAGUGCUGUCAUGAUCUGGGUUUUGGUUUCUAGUUAUUUCCUGUUUUAUUUUGGUAGUCUCCUGGUUUCUGUGUCCAAGGUUCACUUCCGGUUCAUGUCCUGUCACAGCUGUCCCUGCUUCACCUGGUCAUUAUCCACACCUGCACUCUAUCAGCAAUCAAGUCACUGUGUAUUUAACCACCACCUGUGUCCUUAGUUCUCCGCCAGAUUGUUUAGUUCCAUACCUUGUUCCAGUGUUUCAUGUCUAAUCCCUUGUUUUUCGUUCCUGAUUUCCUUGACCGUUGUAUCCUGCCUGAUCCUUGUUUGUACCGUUGCCGGAGAAAGACCUUGGACUGAACAACUGAUCAAUAAAUUUAAGAACUACAACAGUUAGUUCUUCAUGCUGGAUGGUUUUUCUUCAGACCUGAAUGGAUGAUCGUGGACGCCAUGAAGAAGCCAUGAUGGAGACAAUGCUUGAAGAUUUUGUCAUUCACAAAGAUGCAGAGGCAGAUGAUGACCCUGAAUAUGUAGUCAUCGUUUCAAGGCCUGGAUGAGUUGGGUCGUGUCCCACCUGCUGCGAUGUUGUUUGCUCUUGUAUAUGCUCUCAACCUCAGCUAACCUAAAAUUUGUUUGAAAUAUUGUCCCAAUGCUGUAUGUACAAUACUGGAUCUUAGUGACAUUUUGUAGCUGCCUUUGACAUUUGAAAGCUGUUUUAUCGUUUUUAUGAAGCUUAUAAAGUAUUCUAACCAGUCUAAAUCCAAUGUGCUUUGUGUCUUCUCCAACCUACACACCAGCUGGGGAUAUAUGUUAGUUUGCAUAA